Molecule: ribosomal RNA, 1475 nt
Filed under: Alcaligenes sp. HN-S
Lineage: Bacteria; Pseudomonadati; Pseudomonadota; Betaproteobacteria; Burkholderiales; Alcaligenaceae
Description: partial 16S ribosomal RNA
Source: RNAcentral
UCAGACACGCCCUCGAAAUUGUACGUUCAGCUUGCCGUCGCGCUCUUUCGAACGAAAGAACCGCCGCUCACCGCUUGCCCACUCAUUACAUAGCCUUGCAUGGGUCAUCGCCCCCUAUUGAUGCGCUUUCGCACCGAUUAUGGCGUAUGCGGGAUGCCCCCUUUCCCCCCCUAGCGUUCUGGAGAGUGAUAACCUCGCCGGCUAUAGCCUAAUCGACCAACCACCCCAUUUCCGGAUGGUUCCGCUGCUAGGCAUCGACCAAACUCUCCUGCUGGUCGGUGUGACCCUGACUCUGUGCCGGGUCUGAGGAUGCCCUCCGUCGUCACCCCUUAAAACCUGUUACCCCCUUUGGGACUAGGUCGGUAGGGCGCACACGCUACUUCCGGAAGCCCAACAUUUCGUGAAAACCGUCCCUUCUUUGCCGGGCCCUAUUAUGGGACCCAAUUACUGCCAUGGACGUCUUAUUCGUGGCCGAUUGAUGCACGGUCGUCGGCGCCAUUAUGCAUCCCACGUUCGCAAUUAGCCUUAAUGACCCGCAUUUCGCACGCGUCCGCCAAGCCUUUCUUUCCACACUUUAGGGUCCCGAAUUGGAACCUUGACGUGAAAAUUGAUGGCCCGAUCUCAUGCAGUCUCCCCCCAUCUUAAGGUGCACAUCGUCACUUUACGCAUCUCUACACCUCCUUAUGGCUACCGCUUCCGUCGGGGGACCCUACUAUGACUGCGAGUACGUGCUUUCGCACCCCUCGUUUGUCCUAAUCUAUGGGACCAUCAGGUGCGGGAUUUGCUACAGUUGAUCGACAACCCCAAAUAAUUGGAAUCAUCGCGUCGGUUGCGCACUUCAACUGGCGGACCCCUCAUGCCAGCGUUCUAAUUUUGAGUUUCCUUAACUGCCCCUGGGCGUGUUCGCCACCUACUACACCUAAUUAAGCUACGUUGCGCUUUUUGGAAUGGAUGGGAACUGUACAGACCUUAGGGCUUCUCUAAACCCUCACGAGCGUUCUCUUGGCCUUGUGUCCACGACGUACCGACAGCAGUCGAGCACAGCACUCUACAACCCAAUUCAGGGCGUUGCUCGCGUUGGGAACGGUAAUCAACGAUGUAAAUCAACCCGUGAGAUUACCCUGACGGCCACUGUUUGGCCUCCUUCCACCCCUACUGCAGUUCAGGAGUACCGGGAAUACCCAUCCCGAAGUGUGCAGUAUGUUACCAGCCCUGUCUCCCAACGGUUCGGCGCUCCACCUCGGUUAGAGUCUUUGGGCUAGCAUCAGGCCUAGCGUCAGACGUUGAGCUGACGCACUUCAGCCUUAGCGAUCAUUAGCGCCUAGUCGUACAGCGCCACUUAUGCAAGGGCCCAGAACAUGUGUGGCGGGCAGUGUGGUACCCUCACCCAAAGUGGUCUUCAUCCAUCGGAUUGGCGUUCCCCCCGCGAAUGGUGCCACUCUAAGUACUGACCCCCUUCAGCUUGUUCUCGGAUC